CCUACGGGAGGCUGCAGUGAGGAAUAUUGGUCAAUGGGCGAGAUCCUGAACCAGCCAAGUCGCGUGAGGGAAGACUGCCCUAUGGGUUGUAAACCUCUUUUGUCGGGGAGCAAAACGCGGGACGUGUCGCGGACUGCGUGUAUCCGAAGAAAAAGCAUCGGCUAACUCCGUUCCAGCAGCCGCGGUAAUACUGAGGAUUCGGGCGUUAUCCGGAUUUAUUGGGUUUAAAGGGUGCGUUGGCGGGCCGUUAAGUCAGCGGUAAAAUUGCGGGGCUCAACCUCGUCGAGCCGUUGAAACUGGGAGACUUGAGUGGGCGAGAAGUACGCGGAAUGCGCGGUGUAGCGGUGAAAUGCAUAGAUAUCGCGCAGAACUCCGAUUGCGAAGGCAGCGUACCGGCGCCAGACUGACGCUGAGGCACGAAAGCGUGGGGAUCGAACAGGAUUAGAUACCCCUGUAGUC
Molecule: ribosomal RNA, 459 nt
Filed under: uncultured bacterium
Lineage: Bacteria
Description: partial 16S ribosomal RNA
Rfam family: Bacterial small subunit ribosomal RNA
Source: RNAcentral